This 497-nucleotide ribosomal RNA is filed under the name uncultured bacterium. Its description in RNAcentral is "partial 16S ribosomal RNA". It matches the Rfam family "Bacterial small subunit ribosomal RNA", at positions 28 to 507 of the family's 1533-position model. The record is from RNAcentral.
GAUGAACGCUGGCGGCGUGCCUAAUACAUGCAAGUCGAGCGAACAGACGAGGAGCUUGCUCCUCUGACGUUAGCGGUGGACGGGUGAGUAACACGUGGAUAACCUACCUAUAAGACUGGGAUAACUUCGGGAAACCGGAGCUAAUACCGGAUAAUAUAUUGAACCGCAUGGUUCAAUAGUGAAAGACGGUUUUGCUGUCACUUAUAGAUGGAUCCGCGCCGCAUUAGCUAGUUGGUAAGGUAACGGCUUACCAAGGCAACGAUGCGUAGCCGACCUGAGAGGGUGAUCGGCCACACUGGAACUGAGACACGGUCCAGACUCCUACGGGAGGCAGCAGUAGGGAAUCUUCCGCAAUGGGCGAAAGCUUGACGGAGCAACGCCGCGUGAGUGAUGAAGGUCUACGGAUCGUAAAACUCUGUUAUUAGGGAAGAACAAAUGUGUAAGUAACUAUGCACGUCUUGACGGUACCUAAUCAGAAAGCCACGGCUAACUACGUG